Long non-coding RNA from Triticum aestivum (bread wheat), 636 nucleotides. RefSeq lists it as uncharacterized. Lineage: Eukaryota; Viridiplantae; Streptophyta; Magnoliopsida; Poales; Poaceae. The record is from RefSeq and is a predicted model, not a curated record. The transcript has 4 exons.
UCACAAAAGCUGAGGAAAGUCAGGCGAUAUUCUCUAUCUUGUCACAGCUGUGAUGAUUUUGCUUAGGAAUUUUUUGUUAAUUGACAUACAUUUUUGUUAAUUCGUAGGCACUUUUGUAUGUCGUUCAUUAUGAUAAUUUUGCUUAGGAAGUUUGGAAUGAAAGUUCUGGCACUUUCAAUAUUCACCGUAUUUGUAAUCGGAAAGUAUUUAGUCUACACGUACUGUUCAUGUUCAUGGUGAUACUAUAUUGUAAAUAUUAGUGCUUAGUUCAUGUCCUUGAUGAACUUUUUUGAAUUUUUACUCCUGGUGGUGGUCGAGCUCAUCUGGUGGUGGUUGUUGCCGCUCCUUCUCUCCACGGCGUAGACCUUGUCGUCAAGCUCAUCUUCUAUCCUAAGGUGAUGAUCUUUCUGCAAGUUGCUGCCUGGGUUUAUAGUCCCGUUCGUUUCUUUACAAGACACAGAUGACAGAAAUGCCGCAAUGGGACCAGAGUUCAAAUUAGGAUGAAGAGGUGUUCUUCCAUGGUGGCCAAAGGUGAGGCGCUUCUCCGGCCAGAUCCAUGGCCACCAUGUUGCCAUCGACGUCCACCGUCUUUAACAGAUCGAUCGAGUGUGCAUCACUGAGCUGCAUGGCUUCCCC